AAUUAUACCGUGAAACUGCGAAUGGCUCAUUAAAUCAGUUAUCGUUUAUUUGAUAGUACCUUACUACUUGGAUAACCGUGGUAAUUCUAGAGCUAAUACAUGCUGAAAACCCCAACUUCGGGAGGGGUGUAUUUAUUAGAUAAAAAACCAACGCCCUUCGGGGCUUCUUGGUGAUUCAUGAUAACUUCACGGAUCGCAUGGCCUUGCGCCGGCGACGGUUCAUUCAAAUUUCUGCCCUAUCAACUUUCGAUGGUAAGGUAUUGGCUUACCAUGGUUUCAACGGGUAACGGGGAAUUAGGGUUCGAUUCCGGAGAGGGAGCCUGAGAAACGGCUACCACAUCCAAGGAAGGCAGCAGGCGCGCAAAUUACCCAAUCCCGACACGGGGAGGUAGUGACAAUAAAUACUGAUACAGGGCUCUUUUGGGUCUUGUAAUUGGAAUGAGUACAAUUUAAACCUCUUAACGAGGAACAAUUGGAGGGCAAGUCUGGUGCCAGCAGCCGCGGUAAUUCCAGCUCCAAUAGCGUAUAUUAAAGUUGUUGCAGUUAAAAAGCUCGUAGUUGAAACUUGGGCCUGGCUGGCAGGUCCGCCUCACCGCGUGUACUUGUCCGGCCGGGCCUUUCCUUCUAGAGAACCUCAUGCCCUUCACUGGGUGUGCUGGGGAACUAGGACUUUUACUUUGAAAAAAUUAGAGUGUUCAAAGCAGGCCUUUGCUCGAAUACGUUAGCAUGGAAUAAUAGAAUAGGACGUGCGGUCCUAUUUUGUUGGUUUCUAGGACCGCCGUAAUGAUUAAUAGGGACAGUCGGGGGCAUCAGUAUUCAAUUGUCAGAGGUGAAUUCUUGGAUUUAUUGAAGACUAACUACUGCGAAAGCAUUUGCCAAGGAUGUUUUCAUUAAUCAGUGAACGAA
This 906-nucleotide ribosomal RNA is filed under the name Remotididymella destructiva. Its description in RNAcentral is "SSU rRNA". It matches the Rfam family "Eukaryotic small subunit ribosomal RNA", at positions 72 to 987 of the family's 1831-position model. Lineage: Eukaryota; Fungi; Ascomycota; Dothideomycetes; Pleosporales; Didymellaceae. The record is from RNAcentral.